CCUACGGGAGGCAGCAGUGAGGAAUAUUGGUCAAUGGGCGCGAGCCUGAACCAGCAAAGUAGCGUGAAGGAUGACUGCCCUAUGGGUUGUAAACUUCUUUUAUAUGGGAAUAAAAUGUUCCACGUGUGGGAUUUUGUAUGUACCAUAUGAAUAAGGAUCGGCUAACUCCGUGCCAGCAGCCGCGGUAAUACGGAGGAUCUGAGCGUUAUCCGGAUUUAUUGGGUUUAAAGGGAGCGUAGGUGGAUUGUUAAGUCAGUUGUGAAAGUUUGCGGCUCAACCGUAAAAUUGCAGUUGAAACUGGCAGUCUUGAGUACAGUAGAGGUGGGCGGAAUUCGUGGUGUAGCGGUGAAAUGCUUAGAUAUCACGAAGAACUCCGAUUGCGAAGGCAGCUCACUGGACUGCAACUGACACUGAGGCUCGAAAGUGUGGGUAUCAAACAGGAUUAGAUACCCGGGUAGUC
This 460-nucleotide ribosomal RNA is filed under the name uncultured bacterium. Its description in RNAcentral is "partial 16S ribosomal RNA". It matches the Rfam family "Bacterial small subunit ribosomal RNA", at positions 338 to 795 of the family's 1533-position model. The record is from RNAcentral.